Molecule: unclassified non-coding RNA, 413 nt
Filed under: Hevea brasiliensis (rubber tree)
Lineage: Eukaryota; Viridiplantae; Streptophyta; Magnoliopsida; Malpighiales; Euphorbiaceae
Source: RNAcentral
AAAAAAAAAAAAAGAAUACUUAUGAAAAUGUUAAAUUUGAAAUUUUCUCCCCUUAAAAUUUAAUAUUUGACCCCACUAAAUUUUGACUUAAAUAAAAAGACAGAAAUAUUUUAGUUUUUGCCAUUUUUGUAAUAUAAAAAACAACUUAAAAGUUAUAUUUUCGUUUGUAUUUUGGAAUCACAACUCAUAGAAAAGAGAAACAAAGUUAGAAAAUUUUGAACAAAGUCAAAUAAAAACAAAGUGAAGGAUAAAAAAUUAAAUUCAAUUGUGGGAUCUGAGAAUAAGAUGAGUAAUUUUGUAUUUAGUUUUCUCUCAAACUUCUCAAAUAAAAAUUUUUUUUGUAGUUUUAUGUAUUUUUGUAAGUACCCAAAUCUAUUUUAUAAAUUUGUUUUCUAUACACUCAAUUUUAAUUU